GCAGACACAUUCCAGCCAAUCAGCACCAGACCCUCCCUCCCAGACCCUCCCACCUCCUGGACAGCAUCCAUUGUGAAGCUGCAUUCUUAGUGAGCUGUCCAGGAGGUGGGAGGGUCUGGGAGGGAGGGUCUGCUGCUGAUUGGCUGGAAUGUGUCUG
Pelobates cultripes (western spadefoot toad) is the source of this 157-nucleotide non-coding RNA. NCBI's taxonomy places the organism in Eukaryota, Metazoa, Chordata, Amphibia, Anura, Pelobatidae. The record is from the annotation of a GenBank genome assembly.